Molecule: ribosomal RNA, 275 nt
Filed under: uncultured bacterium
Lineage: Bacteria
Description: partial 16S ribosomal RNA
Rfam family: Bacterial small subunit ribosomal RNA
Source: RNAcentral
CCUACGGGCGGCUGCAGUGGGGAAUAUUGGACAAUGGGCGCAAGCCUGAUCCAGCCACGCCGCGUGAGUGAUGAAGGCCUUCGGGUCGUAAAGCUCUGUGGGGAGAGACGAACCGCCGGUGGUGCAUAGCCAUCGGCAUGACGGUAUCUCCUUAGCAAGCACCGGCUAACUUCGUGCCAGCAGCCGCGGUAAUACGAAGGGUGCAAACGUUGCUCGGAAUUAUUGGGCGUAAAGCGCACGUAGGCGGUCUAUCAAGUCGGAUGUGAAAUCCCUCG